UUCGAUAAUCCAUUGACUGAGAAGCUGAAAGAGAGAAAGAGAGAGAGAGAGUGGAUUGUUCGGGGAAGCCUAAGAGGAAAAAGAAAAAGAAGGGGGAGAAAAAUCCUCAAGGUAAAAAAUUUCAACAUGGUUAGAAGGAAAGAUUCAUUUUGGGAGUAUGCAAAGGAUUUAGAAAAUGGUCAUUUUUCUUGUAAUUUUUGUAAACAAGAUUUUGCGGGGGGAAUUUCAAGAAUUAAAUCACAUUUGUCUGGAGUUAGAGGCCGUGAUA
Corylus avellana is the source of this 268-nucleotide non-coding RNA. Lineage: Eukaryota; Viridiplantae; Streptophyta; Magnoliopsida; Fagales; Betulaceae. The record is from RefSeq and is a predicted model, not a curated record.